UACAUGGGGUGCAACCGUUGCUCGGAAUUAUUGGGCGUAAAGCGCGCGUAGGCGGUUAAUCAAGUCGGAUGUGAAAGCCCUCGGCUUAACUGAGGAAGUGCACCCGAAACUGAGUAGCUAGAGUACUAAAGAGGGUCGCGGAAUUCCCGGUGUAGAGGUGAAAUUCGUAGAUAUCAGGAAGAACACCCGUGGCGAAGGCGGCUCUCUGGGACGGUACUGACGCUGAGACGCGAAAGCGUGGGGAGCGAACAGG
RNAcentral lists this ribosomal RNA (253 nucleotides) under uncultured bacterium. RNAcentral describes it as "partial 16S ribosomal RNA". It matches the Rfam family "Bacterial small subunit ribosomal RNA", at positions 524 to 776 of the family's 1533-position model. The record is from RNAcentral.